Molecule: long non-coding RNA, 454 nt
Organism: Gossypium arboreum
Lineage: Eukaryota; Viridiplantae; Streptophyta; Magnoliopsida; Malvales; Malvaceae
Exons: 3
Source: RefSeq, a predicted model, not a curated record
GCUCCUUCUUCUCCACCGAUUUUCCUCCAAGAAAAUGGCCAUGGAAGAUUGAAAAUUUUCAGCAACUUAAAGCCUUUGCAAAUCAAGAAUUACAAAAUUCGGGCCUAGACCGAGGAAAAGCAAAUCAAGUGUACUAAGCCGAACUAGUUGCCUACAUUUUGAAUACCAAGUGUCGCCUAUUUAGCUCGAGGAUCAUCGGACGUCGGAGGCAUCGAUCACACUAUCAUCCGAAGAACUUGGUAUAGUUAGAUCUAUUAUUUUUAGUUAUGGCAUGUAUAGGACCUUGACUUUUGAGUUUUGUGUCAUUGUUAAUUUUCCAAAUGUGUUGGCUUGCUUUAGCAUUUGAUUCAUUUUGUAUAAAGCCAUAGAAAAUGGCUAAUAUUGAAAGUUUAUAUAUAACUGCAAGAUAGUUUUACAUGAAUGUGAAAUUGUUGGCAUAGUUGGAUAUAUAAAA